Molecule: ribosomal RNA, 496 nt
Filed under: uncultured bacterium
Lineage: Bacteria
Description: partial 16S ribosomal RNA
Rfam family: Bacterial small subunit ribosomal RNA
Source: RNAcentral
GAUGAACGCUGGCGGCGUGCCUAAUACAUGCAAGUCGAGCGAACAGACGAGGAGCUUGCUCCUCUGACGUUAGCGGCGGACGGGUGAGUAACACGUGGAUAACCUACCUAUAAGACUGGGAUAACUUCGGGAAACCGGAGCUAAUACCGGAUAAUAUAUUGAACCGCAUGGUUCAAUAGUGAAAGACGGUUUUGCUGUCACUUAUAGAUGGAUCCGCGCCGCAUUAGCUAGUUGGUAAGGUAACGGCUUACCAAGGCAACGAUGCGUAGCCGACCUGAGAGGGUGAUCGGCCACACUGGACCUGAGACACGGUCCAGACUCCUACGGGAGGCAGCAGUAGGGAAUCUUCCGCAAUGGGCGAAAGCCUGACGGAGCAACGCCGCGUGAGUGAUGAAGGUCUUCGGAUCGUAAAACUCUGUUAUUAGGAAGAACAAAUGUGUAAGUAACUAUGCACGUCUUGACGGUACCUAAUCAGAAAGCCACGGCUAACUACGUG